UACCCUGGUAGUCCACGCCCUAAACGAUGUCAACUAGCUGUUGGGGCCUUCGGGCCUUGGUAGCGCAGCUAACGCGUGAAGUUGACCGCCUGGGGAGUACGGUCGCAAGAUUAAAACUCAAAGGAAUUGACGGGGACCCGCACAAGCGGUGGAUGAUGUGGAUUAAUUCGAUGCAACGCGAAAAACCUUACCUACCCUUGACAUGUCUGGAAUGCCGAAGAGAUUUGGUAGUGCUCGCAAGAGAACCGGAACACAGGUGCUGCAUGGCUGUCGUCAGCUCGUGUCGUGAGAUGUUGGGUUAAGUCCCGCAACGAGCGCAACCCUUGUCAUUAGUUGCUACGAAAGGGCACUCUAAUGAGACUGCCGGUGACAAACCGGAGGAAGGUGGGGAUGACGUCAAGUCCUCAUGGCCCUUAUGGGUAGGGCUUCACACGUCAUACAAUGGUCGGGACAGAGGGUCGCCAACCCGCGAGGGGGAGCCAAUCCCAGAAACCCGAUCGUAGUCCGGAUCGCAGUCUGCAACUCGACUGCGUGAAGUCGGAAUCGCUAGUAAUCGCGGAUCAGCAUGUCGCGGUGAAUACGUUCCCGGGUCUUGUACACACCGCCCGUCACACCAUGGGAGUGGGUUUUACCAGAAGUAGUUAGCCUAACCGUAAGGAGGGCGAUUACCACGGUAGGAUUCAUGACUGGGGUGAAGUCGUAACAAGGUAA
RNAcentral lists this ribosomal RNA (711 nucleotides) under uncultured Achromobacter sp. RNAcentral's name for it is "bacterial SSU rRNA". It matches the Rfam family "Bacterial small subunit ribosomal RNA", at positions 783 to 1499 of the family's 1533-position model. Lineage: Bacteria; Pseudomonadati; Pseudomonadota; Betaproteobacteria; Burkholderiales; Alcaligenaceae. The record is from RNAcentral.